UGUGGUCUGUUUUGUCUGGAGAGGGUUUUUGGUGUUUCUGUGUUUUUGUGUUUGUGUGUCUGCACCAGCCAGCGCUCAAGGGGGCGGGACGUCAUUACUGAGGUGAGAGCAGCGGCUAGCAGCUUAGCAUCAACAAUCUCCCACCUGGCGCUGCCUGCCCAAUCAGGGGAGGUAUUUAGGAGUGGCCCUGACGUCUCGUCCCUGCCGAAUUGCACCUGGUGGGUUGUGUUUCCUGUGCACUCACCCAGUCACCUAGUCCCAUUUUUUCCCAUCCCUGGAUCCUAAGAACCAGCACCUCGGCUGGGAUUCCGGACCGCCAUCACCACCCUGUUACUUUCCAUUAUUGCCCCCCAAGAAAAUAAAACCUGUGUUAUUCACUUCACUCGGUCUGCGUUUGGGUCUGUUCCGGUGGGGGAAUACCUGACAGAUUGUUAGUCUUUGUCGGUGUCUCCUGUUGCCUGGCACUUCGGCCUCCACUCCUCGUAAGGUUGGCCGACUCAAUUCCCCGCCCAGGUUCCGGCUGCCCUCCAGGCCGCCCCCCAUAGAACUCGCGCUGCCACAUCACCCUCCGGGCCGCCUCCCGAAGACUCCUUGCCCACCGGUUCCUCCGUCAGGCCGUCUCCCUGA
Molecule: long non-coding RNA, 627 nt
Organism: Gasterosteus aculeatus aculeatus (three-spined stickleback)
Lineage: Eukaryota; Metazoa; Chordata; Actinopteri; Perciformes; Gasterosteidae
Source: Ensembl